AGUGAACGCUGGCGGCAGGCCUAAUACAUGUAAGUCGAACGGCAGCACAGCAGCGCUUGCUCUGUGGGUGGCGAGUGGCGGACGGGUGAGGAAUACAUGGGAAUCUGCCCAGUCGUGGGGGAUAACGUAUGGAAACGUACGCUAAUACUGCAUGCGCCCUUUGGGGGAAAGCCGGGGACCUUUGGGCCUGGCGCGAUUGGAUGAGCCCAUGUACGCUUAGCUACUUGGCGGGGUAAAGGCCCACCAAGGCGACGAUCGAUAGCUGGUGUGAGAGGCGGAUCAGCCACACUGGGACGGGGACACGGCCCAGACCCCUACGGGAGUCAACAGUAGGGAAUAUUGGACAAUGGGCGCAAACCUUAUCCAGCCAUGCGGCGUGAGUGAAGAAGGCCCUCGGGUUGUAAAGCUCUUUUGUCCGGAAAGAAAAGCAUUCGGUUAAUAUCCGGGUGUGCUGACGGUACCGGAAGAAUAGGCACGCGCUAACUUCGUG
This 490-nucleotide ribosomal RNA is filed under the name uncultured bacterium. RNAcentral's name for it is "partial 16S ribosomal RNA". It matches the Rfam family "Bacterial small subunit ribosomal RNA", at positions 29 to 507 of the family's 1533-position model. The record is from RNAcentral.